GUAGGGAAUAUUGCGCAAUGGACGCAAGUCUGACGCAGCAACGCCGCGUGGGUGAUGAAGCUCCUUGGAGUGUAAAACCCUGUCAGUGGGGAAGAAACGUACGGGUAGUAACUGCCCCGUGCCUGACGGUACCCACAGAGGAAGUCCCGGCUAACUCCGUGCCAGCAGCCGCGGUAAUACGGGGGGGACUAGCGUUGUUCGGAUUUACUGGGCGUAAAGGGCGCGUAGGCGGACCUUCAAGUCGGAUGUGAAAUCUGUCGGCUUAACUGACAGUCUGCACCCGAUACUGUUGGCCUUGAGUACGGGAGAGGAGAGCGGAAUUCCUGGUGUAGCGGUGAAAUGCGUAGAUAUCAGGAAGAACACCGGUUGCGAAGGCGGCUCUCUGGACCGAUACUGACGCUUAAGCGCGAAGGCUUGGGGAGCAAACAGGAUUAGAAACCCUUGUAGUCC
This 450-nucleotide ribosomal RNA is filed under the name uncultured bacterium. Its description in RNAcentral is "bacterial SSU rRNA". It matches the Rfam family "Bacterial small subunit ribosomal RNA", at positions 354 to 796 of the family's 1533-position model. The record is from RNAcentral.